CUUGGGUUCUCAUCCAUCACUCCGUCAAGUCCCAGGUCAUAGAGGUUACUUCCUCUUCUGGGUCAUGAUGAGGCUUCACUCUACUCUGGGCACUUGGCUCUUCACACUCCUAGUGAUGCUAGUCUACUGCCAGAGUGGUGAUGAUGGAGAGUGGGGAUCAGGUGACGUCUCUGGGACUGUGGUCACUGGCAAUUCCUCCAAUUCAGUCUUCCAUGCAGUCGGGGAUGAGCCAGACAGGACCAGGCCAAUUUUUCAGACCCUGGCGGAGACAGAAGGUGGCGACUGUUAUGUCAACUUCCACACCAGCCAAGUCAUGUCAAGACGGUUACGAGCUUUCAGAGAGGAAGUUGCUUAUCUAAAGGCCCUUCAACAUGGGAACCAGGCAGUGAUGGAGAAUCUGGUCCAGUUUGUAGGAGCAGAAAUGGGAGAUCAACGCUACGAGGAGGUGAUCCAAGAGAACAUUGUUGGAAUCAGGGAGGAUCAUGUGAGCUGUGAGAGCGUGGUCACAAAAGCAGCAGAGGAGUUGGAGAGUCAACUGGAGGGAGAUGCUCAAGCCACUUUUGCUGGAAUUCAGAAAAUAAAAGAGGAGUCCCUUGCCUUUGAAGAAAUUCUGCGUACCACGACAGACAUCGCCACUCGACUGGAGAGCUCCUCACGAGCCCUGCAUGUGGAGAUGAUCGAACAGCUGAGGAAGAACAUGAGACAGCCGCGCAAAACUAAAUGACUCCUUGGGAAGCCAUCCAGCAUGGAAAAACUGAUAAAAGUAUUAUAUGGCAUGUCACAUCUAUAUUUAUCCACAGUUUUUUAAUAACAGUAAAACAAUGUUGUCACCUUAAACAGUCCAUAUGUGGACCAUUUGACUUAAUUUUAUCUCCCUUGCCUACUAUGUUUUGGGAAAGGGCACUGUUGUCAGAGAAUAGACUGAAACGCCAACUAUAUUUUUCUCUCUUGUCCGAUGUUCAUUUAUGAGCCAUAUUGAACAUAUAAUGGCUAUGUGUACAAGGAAACAUGAUCAUGAUGAAACAUGAUGAAAAAAUGAUCUUGGCAGUGAAGGUGAUAUCUUAAAAGAAUAUUUUCUUUCCAAGUACAGACAACCCCGCAGCUAUGGUCUGGCUGUCUUGGCGCUAGGGAGCAGAUGGUGAAAAGACUGUAUGAGGGUCUGGAAAUCAGCAAGCAUGAACUCACAUACAUUGGAGAGAGAGAGAGAGCAAGAUGGAAAAACAAAAAAGAAAGGGAAAAAAAGACAUGGCAGUGAUGUCACUGAGGAAUAAAUAAAAACGUGACUUGGCAGCUUGGAGCCAGAAUCUAAAAAAUCAGAACAAGGAAGUAGAAACUUUGCGACU
RNAcentral lists this long non-coding RNA (1343 nucleotides) under Sinocyclocheilus anshuiensis. Its description in RNAcentral is "lncRNA (ENSSANG00000025238.1)". The record is from RNAcentral. Lineage: Eukaryota; Metazoa; Chordata; Actinopteri; Cypriniformes; Cyprinidae.